CGUGUAGGCGGACUCGCAAGUCGGUUGUGAAAUCCCUGGGCUCAACCUAGGAACUGCAUCCGAAACUGCGUGUCUUGAGUAAUGGAGAGGGUGGCGGAAUUCCCGGUGUAGAGGUGAAAUUCGUAGAUAUCGGGAGGAACAUCAGUGGCGAAGGCGGCCACCUGGACAUUUACUGACGCUGAGACGCGAAAGCGUGGGGAGCAAACA
RNAcentral lists this ribosomal RNA (207 nucleotides) under uncultured bacterium. RNAcentral's name for it is "partial 16S ribosomal RNA". It matches the Rfam family "Bacterial small subunit ribosomal RNA", at positions 568 to 774 of the family's 1533-position model. The record is from RNAcentral.